CUAUGUUAAGGCAAUGAUGUCUGCCACUAACCGCUUUAAUGAGCUGAUGACGUCUACUUUUGC
RNAcentral lists this non-coding RNA (63 nucleotides) under Sphingobacterium spiritivorum. RNAcentral's name for it is "Sphingobacterium sp. Fluoride sequence". It matches the Rfam family "Fluoride riboswitch aptamer (crcB RNA motif)". The record is from RNAcentral. Lineage: Bacteria; Pseudomonadati; Bacteroidota; Sphingobacteriia; Sphingobacteriales; Sphingobacteriaceae.